CUGGCGGCAUGCCUUACACAUGCAAGUCGAACGGCAGCAUGGAAGAGCUUGCUCUUCUGAUGGCGAGUGGCGAACGGGUGAGUAAAGCAUCGGAACGUACCGUGUAGUGGGGGAUAACGUAGCGAAAGUUACGCUAAUACCGCAUAUUCUGUGAGCAGGAAAGCAGGGGAUCGCAAGACCUUGCGCUGAUUGAGCGGCCGAUAUCAGAUUAGCUAGUUGGUGGGGUAAAGGCUCACCAAGCCAACGAUCUGUAGCUGGUCUGAGAGGACGACCAGCCACACUGGAACUGAGACACGGUCCAGACUCCUACGGGAGGCAGCAGUGGGGAAUUUUGGACAAUGGACGCAAGUCUGAUCCAGCCAUUCCGCGUGCAGGAUGAAGGCCCUCGGGUUGUAAACUGCUUUUGUACGGAACGAAAAGGCUUCCAUUAAUACUGGGAGCUCAUGACGGUACCGUAAGAAUAAGCACCGGCUAACUACGUG
Molecule: ribosomal RNA, 482 nt
Filed under: uncultured bacterium
Lineage: Bacteria
Description: bacterial SSU rRNA
Rfam family: Bacterial small subunit ribosomal RNA
Source: RNAcentral